Molecule: ribosomal RNA, 433 nt
Filed under: uncultured bacterium
Lineage: Bacteria
Description: partial 16S ribosomal RNA
Rfam family: Bacterial small subunit ribosomal RNA
Source: RNAcentral
AACGAACGCUGGCGGCAUGCCUAACACAUGCAAGUCGAACGAGACCUCCGGGGCUAGUGGCGCAUGGGUGUGUAACGCGUGGGAACCUGCCCUUAGGUACGGAAUAACUCCCUGACAGGGGUGCUAAUACCGGAUAAUUUCUUCGAACCCAAGAUUUAUCGCCUUUGGAUGGGCCCGCGUUGGAUUAGCUGGUUGGUAGGGUAAAAGCCUACCAAGGCGUCGAUCCAUAGCUGGGUUGAGAGAAUGAGCAGCCACACUGGGACGGGGAAGCGGCCCAGACUCCUACGGGAGGCGGCAAUGGGGAAUAUUGGAAAAUGGGCGGAGGGAUGAACGAGUAAUGCCGGGUAAGUGAUGAAGGCCUUAAAGAAGAAAAGCUCUUUUAACCGGGAUGGUAAUGACGGUACCGGAAGAAUAAGCACCGGCUAACUCCGUG